This 496-nucleotide ribosomal RNA is filed under the name Centipeda dianae. Its description in RNAcentral is "bacterial SSU rRNA". It matches the Rfam family "Bacterial small subunit ribosomal RNA", at positions 28 to 498 of the family's 1533-position model. Lineage: Bacteria; Bacillati; Bacillota; Negativicutes; Selenomonadales; Selenomonadaceae. The record is from RNAcentral.
GACGAACGCUGGCGGCGUGCUUAACACAUGCAAGUCGAACGGAGCGAAUGAAAGCUUGCUUUUAUGAGCUUAGUGGCAAACGGGUGAGUAACACGUAGACAACCUGCCGACAGGAUGGGGACAACAUUCCGAAAGGAAUGCUAAUACCGAAUGAAGCGGAGGAGAGGCAUCUCUCUUCCGUGAAAGAUGGCCUCUGAACAUGCUAUCACCUGUCGAUGGGUCUGCGUCUGAUUAGCUGGUUGGUGAGGUAACGGCUCACCAAGGCGACGAUCAGUAGCCGGUCUGAGAGGAUGAACGGCCACAUUGGGACUGAGACACGGCCCAGACUCCUACGGGAGGCAGCAGUGGGGAAUCUUCCGCAAUGGGCGCAAGCCUGACGGAGCAACGCCGCGUGAGUGAAGAAGGUCUUCGGAUCGUAAAGCUCUGUUGACGGGGACGAACGUGCGAGAGGUGAAUAAACUCUUGCAAUGACGGUACCUGUCGAGGAAGCCCGGCU